AAAAAAAAAAAAAAUUAGAAUACCAUCCUGGCACAUGUAUGAAAUGAUAUAACCAGUUAUCAUUGCAAAUGAAUUAUAGAAGACUACUAGAAUAAAGCUAAGACAGUCAUAUUGCCCCUAUCCCUCAUAGAGGAUCAACAGGCAAAGUAGUAGACAAAAGUACUCCAUCACAAUCGUCAAAGAACAUCUCAAAAUGCAUAUGGCAACGUCAAAGACUGUCAAUUCAAAAAUCAUAUGGGAAGCAACUUCUUAAACAGAAUCCUGUUGAACCCCCUUUCAGCAGUCUGUAGGUUAUUUUGACCCAUCCACACCUCCCUGGACUUGAGCUCGGUGACAAGUAAUGUAAAAUUCAGCAGAUUUUACUGAACCUCAUAUCAUUAGCUUAAAUAU
Molecule: unclassified non-coding RNA, 390 nt
Filed under: Hevea brasiliensis (rubber tree)
Lineage: Eukaryota; Viridiplantae; Streptophyta; Magnoliopsida; Malpighiales; Euphorbiaceae
Source: RNAcentral